UACGUAGGGUGCAAGCGUUGUCCGGAAUUAUUGGGCGUAAAGAGCUCGUAGGCGGUCUGUCGCGUCUGCUGUGAAAACUCGGGGCUUAACCCGGCUCGGCCAGUGGUGACGGGCAGACUAGAGUGCGGUAGGGGAGACUGGAAUUCCUGGUGUAGCGGUGAAAUGCGCAGAUAUCAGGUGGAACACCGGUGGCGAAGGCGGGUCUCUGGGCCGUAACUGACGCUGAGGAGCGAAAGCGUGGGGAGCGAACAGG
Molecule: ribosomal RNA, 253 nt
Filed under: uncultured bacterium
Lineage: Bacteria
Description: partial 16S ribosomal RNA
Rfam family: Bacterial small subunit ribosomal RNA
Source: RNAcentral